Molecule: ribosomal RNA, 864 nt
Filed under: Acinetobacter sp.
Lineage: Bacteria; Pseudomonadati; Pseudomonadota; Gammaproteobacteria; Moraxellales; Moraxellaceae
Description: bacterial SSU rRNA
Rfam family: Bacterial small subunit ribosomal RNA
Source: RNAcentral
CACAUGCAGUCGAGCGGGGAAGGGUAGCUUGCUACCUGACCUAGCGGCGGACGGGUGAGUAAUGCUUAGGAAUCUGCCUAUUAGUGGGGGACAACAUUCCGAAAGGAAUGCUAAUACCGCAUACGCCCUACGGGGGAAAGCAGGGGAUCUUCGGACCUUGCGCUAAUAGAUGAGCCUAAGUCAGAUUAGCUAGUUGGUGGGGUAAAGGCCUACCAAGGCGACGAUCUGUAGCGGGUCUGAGAGGAUGAUCCGCCACACUGGGACUGAGACACGGCCCAGACUCCUACGGGAGGCAGCAGUGGGGAAUAUUGGACAAUGGGCGAAAGCCUGAUCCAGCCAUGCCGCGUGUGUGAAGAAGGCCUUUUGGUUGUAAAGCACUUUAAGCGAGGAGGAGGCUACUUGGAUUAAUACUCUAGGAUAGUGGACGUUACUCGCAGAAUAAGCACCGGCUAACUCUGUGCCAGCAGCCGCGGUAAUACAGAGGGUGCGAGCGUUAAUCGGAUUUACUGGGCGUAAAGCGUGCGUAGGCGGCUUUUUAAGUCGGAUGUGAAAUCCCUGAGCUUAACUUAGGAAUUGCAUUCGAUACUGGGAAGCUAGAGUAUGGGAGAGGAUGGUAGAAUUCCAGGUGUAGCGGUGAAAUGCGUAGAGAUCUGGAGGAAUACCGAUGGCGAAGGCAGCCAUCUGGCCUAAUACUGACGCUGAGGUACGAAAGCAUGGGGAGCAACAGGAUUAGAUACCCUGGUAGUCCAUGCCGUAACGAUGUCUACUAGCCGUUGGGGCCUUUGAGGCUUUAGUGGCGCAGCUACGCGAUAAGUAGACCGCCUGGGGAGUACGGUCGCAAGACUAAAACUCAAAUGAAUUGAC